GAUCCUAUAUCACAUUCUGAUCCAGAGUAAAAGCAAUUGAGAAUUGAUGACUACAUAAAUAAGAACAAAAAUAAAUAAAUAAGAAUGACAAUUGCUAUCUAGUUUUACUUUAGCCAUAUUCUAGCAUGGGCAGCAGUAAAUAUAUACUUUCGAUUGAUGAUUGAUAUAGUGCAAAAAUCAGUCCAGAUAUUGAUCCUCCUACAUCCUAU
This 209-nucleotide long non-coding RNA is filed under the name Elaeis guineensis (African oil palm). RNAcentral describes it as "long non-coding RNA (EGUI_LNC014450)". The record is from RNAcentral. Lineage: Eukaryota; Viridiplantae; Streptophyta; Magnoliopsida; Arecales; Arecaceae.